GAAAAAAGAAUCCUCCGAGUGAUAAAAAUCUAGACUCACCAGUCAAAACAUAACANCACUCAUUGACCCAAAACCUUUGAUCAACGGAACA
This 91-nucleotide ribosomal RNA is filed under the name Hippopotamus amphibius (hippopotamus). RNAcentral's name for it is "partial 16S ribosomal RNA". Lineage: Eukaryota; Metazoa; Chordata; Mammalia; Artiodactyla; Hippopotamidae. The record is from RNAcentral.